UCUUCUGUGCAAGGACAGUGUGCCACCCGU
This 30-nucleotide non-coding RNA is filed under the name Homo sapiens (human). Lineage: Eukaryota; Metazoa; Chordata; Mammalia; Primates; Hominidae. The record is from RNAcentral.